This 433-nucleotide unclassified non-coding RNA is filed under the name soil metagenome. RNAcentral describes it as "partial contains 5.8S ribosomal RNA, internal transcribed spacer 2, and large subunit ribosomal RNA". The stretch from base 1 to 120 matches the Rfam family "5.8S ribosomal RNA", at positions 35 to 154 of the family's 154-position model. The record is from RNAcentral.
GAUGAAGAACGUAGCGAAAUGCGAUACGUAAUGUGAAUUGCAGAAUUCAGUGAAUCAUCGAAUCUUUGAACGCAUAUUGCGCUCUCUGGUAUUCCGGAGAGCAUGCUUGUUUGAGUAUCAGUAAACACCUCAACUUCCAUAUCUUUUUUGAAAUGGGAGUUGGACUUGAGUGAUCCCAACGCUUUUCCUCACCGAAAAGUGGCGGGUUACUUGAAAUGCAGGUGCAGCUGGACUUUUCUCUGGGCUAUAAGCAUAUCUAUUUAGUCUGCCUAAAAAACAGAUUAUUACCUUUGCUGCAGCUAACAUAAAGGAGAUUAGUUCUUGUGCUGACUGAUGCAGGAUUCACAAAGACAGGCUUCGGCCGACUUUGUAAACUCGAUCUCAAAUCAAGUAAGACUACCCGCUGAACUUAAGCAUAUCAAUAAGCGGAGGA